Molecule: ribosomal RNA, 253 nt
Filed under: uncultured bacterium
Lineage: Bacteria
Description: partial 16S ribosomal RNA
Rfam family: Bacterial small subunit ribosomal RNA
Source: RNAcentral
UACGUAGGAUGCAAGCGUUGUCCGGAAUUAUUGGGCGUAAAGAGCGCGCAGGCGGUCUAUCAAGUCAGAUGUGAAAUAUCCAGGCUUAACCUGGAGGGGUCAUUUGAAACUGGUAGACUAGAGUACAGCAGAGGAUAGUGGAAUUCCCGGUGUAGUGGUGAAAUGCGUAGAUAUCGGGAGGAACACCAGUGGCGAAGGCGACUAUCUGGGCUGAAACUGACGCUGAGGAGCGAAAGCGUGGGGAGCGAACAGG